GCUCAACCAGCAAACACGAGCAGUUUUCCUGAAGACUCCACUGAGACACGGACUGCACUGUCCAUCACCAUGGAUCCCAGCCUUCAGCCAGAUGAGGUUCUCACAGAGACCGUAGUGCCUUGCGCCUUGUUGCUGUCAAGCCUGUGCCAACAUGACUCUUGAAUUGAUACUCAGUGAUUCCAAGAGAAUCUGCCUCUCCUUGCUUCUUCCUUAAUGAACAUGAAAUACCAACAGCUCUAAGGGGGAAAAAAAAGAAGCUUCUAACCCUACUCAUUCAACUCAGGCCUUCAAAGCCCAAGAGAAAAAUAAAGUUGCCAAUUGUCCUUGCUGGGCUCAACAUAUCCAAUGUAUCUGAAUGGCCAUUUUACAUUUUCAAAAGUGCUAACAGAUACCACAUAAUUAAGUGUAUUAGCUGUGAUAUCACACGUUAUUCUGCAUUUUGUGUUGUUACCUCCGAGCUCUGCCAAUUGUGGAUCUUAGCAACCAGUGGGUGGU
Delphinapterus leucas (beluga whale) is the source of this 495-nucleotide long non-coding RNA. RefSeq lists it as uncharacterized. The record is from RefSeq and is a predicted model, not a curated record. NCBI's taxonomy places the organism in Eukaryota, Metazoa, Chordata, Mammalia, Artiodactyla, Monodontidae.